UGAUUUUGAUCAAUGUUUUUAGAAUUAGACCGAUGGUCGAACCAAUUAGGCUAUCAAUUCCCGGUUUGAUCUGUACGUCUUGUUCAGUCAAAUAUAUUAUUAAAAAUUUAUAGAAAUAAAAAAUAUUUUAAAUAGAGAAAAUCAAUUCAAUCAAUUUUUUAGUUUGGUCCAACAAGUUUAUAUCGGUUUGCAGGUCAAUCAAUUCAACCUCUAUUUUUGGUUCGGUGCCUC
RNAcentral lists this long non-coding RNA (231 nucleotides) under Gossypium barbadense (sea-island cotton). RNAcentral's name for it is "long non-coding RNA (GBAR_LNC019515)". The record is from RNAcentral. Lineage: Eukaryota; Viridiplantae; Streptophyta; Magnoliopsida; Malvales; Malvaceae.